AGACCUACGGGAGGCAGCAGUGGGGGAUAUUGCACAAUGGGGGAAACCCUGAUGCAGCGACGCCGCGUGAGUGAAGAAGUAUUUCGGUAUGUAAAGCUCUAUCAGCAGGGACGAAAAUGACGGUACCUGAGUAAGAAGCCCCGGCUAACUACGUGCCAGCAGCCGCGGUAAUACGGAGGGGGCAAGCGUUAUCCGGAUUUACUGGGUAUAAAGGGAGCGUAGACGGUUAUGCAAGUCUGGAGUGGACGGCGGGGGCUCAACGCCCGGCCUGCUCUGGAAACUGUAGCACU
Molecule: ribosomal RNA, 290 nt
Filed under: uncultured bacterium
Lineage: Bacteria
Description: partial 16S ribosomal RNA
Rfam family: Bacterial small subunit ribosomal RNA
Source: RNAcentral